Molecule: non-coding RNA, 1482 nt
Organism: Macaca mulatta (Rhesus monkey)
Lineage: Eukaryota; Metazoa; Chordata; Mammalia; Primates; Cercopithecidae
Source: RefSeq, a predicted model, not a curated record
UCAUCACUGCAUCUCCAAUGCCUAGCACAGAGUCCUGAAUUACAAGCUCAAUAACUAUUUACUGAACGUGAAAUCAGAGCUGCUUCAAGAUAUAUGAGGCUAACUGAGUAGAUGCUGUUGUUCGGCAUUCAGAUAUCAAGAAACAACUAGCCAAAGUAAGGAUUAAGGAGGGGCCCAUGAAGCUCAGUAGAGCUUGUGAUAAUAUUUGCAAGAGAAGACUGCCUGCCAAACUAACUUCAAAAAAGGUGUUUCUGGUUGAAAUAAUCAUGCCCAACAUUCCACCAGGUUCCUCGCGUGUCAAAUACAUCAAAGCCUACCCCACCCAUCUGGAAUGGACAAGCAAAAAUGACUCACUGUGUUUUCCAAUUAUACUCAAGACCUAUCUCCAUAUGCCCUCCUCCUCUGCUUGAGCAGAAGGUGAAAGAGGUUGUGGAGACUGUGGAAUUUGGCCAUUGAAUCUUGAAGACAAAUGCUCUUUGACUUCACUACAACAUCAGUGGGCACUUGGCCAAGGAAGGCUAGUUAGAACCAGCCUUUUUGCAAACACAGCUGAGGUAUUUAUUCUGUCUUUCUUCAUCACAAAAGUAGCACGGAGAAUAAUGGACAAUAGAGUUCAAGUGGAGCAGGAACUGUCCAGAAUUUGAAGAAGUCACAUAUCAGUCCUGGCCACGAUAACUGGGGCACAUGUACUAUAUCCAAGUUGAUAUCCUCAAUUUGGGGAAAGUUUUCUUGCCUUUCCCACAGCCUCCCAAGCCAUUGACAAUCCCCACAUUCAAAACAUUCUCAUUCACAUUUCUGAUUCACUUUGCGCUACAGGAACAACAGCUGUUGAGUACUUCUAGGGAGCAGAGCCAUUAUAGGUAGACAUAGAUCUUGCAAAUAGAGAGGUAGAGAGCUUUCUCAAGACCUUUGGACCAAGCAGAUGACAUCACAAGGUGUACCUUAUGCUAAGUGCCUGAUCUCUAAGACCCUCCACCAGCUGUCAGACAGACAGCAUGCUCACAACAUGACAGCUGGUCAUUCAAGAUCAAGAACGUGAAGACCAGCCCACCCCUGAAAAUGACGGAUCAAACUCAGCUUCACAAUGACUCUUAUUCCAUCCCUAGUGGUGUUUAAAAACACACUUUGUCUUAAGCAACAAGGGGAACUGACCACGUGUUCACAAUAGUUCAUUUCUGACCCUCUGCUUUGGCUUGACCAGACUUUAGUCAGGCUUCUCUCCUCCACAAAGAUUCCUAGAUUUUGGCUCUCCUGCAAGUUUAAGCAAGACCCGAAACACUAAGGAGCAGAACAUCUGUUAACAGCUCAUCCUGAAAAUCAACUGACCAUAGAUAGAAACACUUCCUAUUGGAAUAUCCUGGUUUUGCCACCUGCUUGCCACACUCUAUGCCCUUCUCCACAAAGGUCUGGCUGGUCCUUCUCCCUCCAUAAAAAGGAAAAUCUUCUUUCUGUUUGAUUUUGAGACACUUGCAAAUAUCUGAG